GCUUUCGUGGUGUAGUGGUCAGCAAACUUGAAGCGUAAUCAAAAGGUUCGUGGUUCGAUUCCCGGUGAAGGCG
Molecule: transfer RNA, 73 nt
Filed under: Stegodyphus mimosarum
Lineage: Eukaryota; Metazoa; Arthropoda; Arachnida; Araneae; Eresidae
Rfam family: tRNA
About the family: Transfer RNA (tRNA) molecules are approximately 80 nucleotides in length. Their secondary structure includes four short double-helical elements and three loops (D, anti-codon, and T loops).
Source: Rfam by way of RNAcentral